Non-coding RNA from Phrynosoma platyrhinos (Desert horned lizard), 73 nucleotides. Lineage: Eukaryota; Metazoa; Chordata; Lepidosauria; Squamata; Phrynosomatidae. The record is from the annotation of a GenBank genome assembly.
GCCAGUGUAGUGUAAUGGGUUGAAUGCUGGACUUGGGCUCCUGGAGACCAGGGUUCUAAUCCCCACUCAGCCA